This 499-nucleotide ribosomal RNA is filed under the name uncultured bacterium. RNAcentral's name for it is "bacterial SSU rRNA". It matches the Rfam family "Bacterial small subunit ribosomal RNA", at positions 29 to 521 of the family's 1533-position model. The record is from RNAcentral.
AUUGAACGCUGGCGGCAUGCUUUACACAUGCAAGUCGAACGGUAACAGGCCUUCGGGUGCUGACGAGUGGCGAACGGGUGAGUAAUGCAUCGGAACGUGCCCAAUCGUGGGGGAUAACGUAGCGAAAGUUACGCUAAUACCGCAUAAGCCCUGAGGGGGAAAGUGGGGGACCGCAAGGCCUCACGCGAAUGGAGCGGCCGAUGUCAGAUUAGCUAGUUGGUGGGGUAAAGGCUCACCAAGGCGACGAUCUGUAGCGGGUCUGAGAGGAUGAUCCGCCACACUGGGACUGAGACACGGCCCAGACUCCUACGGGAGGCAGCAGUGGGGAAUUUUGGACAAUGGGCGCAAGCCUGAUCCAGCCAUGCCGCGUGCGGGACGAAGGCCUUCGGGUUGUAAAGCUCUUUCGGUCCGGGACGAAGUACGCACGGGUUAACACCGCGUGUGGAUGACGGUACCGGAACUAAGAAGCACCGGCUAACUACGUGCCAGCAGCCGCGGU